RNAcentral lists this ribosomal RNA (253 nucleotides) under uncultured bacterium. RNAcentral's name for it is "partial 16S ribosomal RNA". It matches the Rfam family "Bacterial small subunit ribosomal RNA", at positions 524 to 776 of the family's 1533-position model. The record is from RNAcentral.
GACGAACCGUGCGAACGUUGUUCGGAAUCACUGGGCUUAAAGGGCGCGUAGGCGGCUCUCUUGGUCGUGGGUGAAAUCCCCCAGCUUAACUGGGGAAGGGCUUACGAUACCGGGGGGCUCGAGGGAGGAAGGGGCGGUCGGAACUGUCGGUGGAGCGGUGAAAUGCGUUGAUAUCGACAGGAACGCCGGUGGCGAAAGCGGACCGCUGGCCCUCUUCUGACGCUGAGGUGCGAAAGCGUGGGGAGCAAACAGG